Carya illinoinensis is the source of this 1879-nucleotide long non-coding RNA. RefSeq lists it as uncharacterized. The record is from RefSeq and is a predicted model, not a curated record. Lineage: Eukaryota; Viridiplantae; Streptophyta; Magnoliopsida; Fagales; Juglandaceae. The transcript is spliced from 3 exons.
CCUAAGUUUUGAUCAUAACCACGAUCACCCAUCUUCAGCCCUUUCUCCAAUUAGCAAACUUCUCAAAACAUCAAAGCUCACCUCACCUCCCCACCAGCGAAUUUAUCCAGCUUCACCUAAUUCCUUCUCUUAGCUGAGCCUGGAAGAUUGGCUUUGAUGGAACGCAUGAUGGGAUCCUGGGUUCUCCUUCCCAAAAACCAUGUCUCGAUGGAUUGCAUGCAUACUAGCUAAAGACAUAAAUGGAGUCAAGCUAAUCAUGUUCGCAAGUAAUUCUAUAUCGAUCCUUUUCUGCUGCGAGCUCCAGAUGAUAAAAGUUAUUGACGGGACCAUGCAGGAACGCAUAUCUAUCACAAUUCAAAAGGCAUUUUUAAUUUCCAAGCAAAGUGGAGCUUAAGAUGAAAGGUGCAUGGUUAGUGGUUACUCUCGAUCGGUCGAAGUGAUGUGAUAUAUUCAAAAGAGCCACAUGCUGAUCCAGAAAGUACGGCCUUUUGGCCUUUCUUAUCAACAAGCUGCUGCUACUGCUAGCAAGCGAAGCGAAUUAAGACUCGUACCCACCUCUCUCACUUCCCUGUUAAUUCCUAAAAGUCAAAAAAUAUGGCCCGACCCCUGAUCGUCAACGUUCUCCGACUUUGACAAACCUACUGGAGUACUGUUCAAAGUUCCAACCAAAGGAGUGCUCUAUAAUUUUCUCGAUCUACGCAUGAUCAUCAUCAUGAGUGGCCGCGUUGGUGGGCGAUUUUUGUUGACAGAAGAUAGAGAGCACAACAGAACAUGCCCAAGGGAGGAUUGUGUAUGAGCUGUUUGUGCUCUGUGUCUUCUGUCAGCAGAGUUUUGGUCUGGCCAGAUCAAUCCCUGUUCAAGGUACGUAACAACAUAAUAUAUAUAGAUUUUAUAGCAUGACGGCCGUAACGACAUAAUAUAUCGAUCGGCCCUGGCUGGCUGGAUGUUUCUGUUAUAGAGAUUUUAGGUCUUGCAUCCUAACUCCUAAGGUAAGAUAUACAUACAUAUUAUUAUUAUUAUUAUUAUUAUUAUUAUUAUUAUUAUAUAUACGAAUAUAUAAUAAUAUAUAUCAUGUGAUCUAUGCAUAUAAUUAAUUACGUUGGAAAUUAUAAAACUUUGCUUUAAUUUCUUAAUUAAUUAUGUCUCAGAUCAAUUAAUUAUUCGAUUCUAUUUUUUAUACAUGCAUUAAAACUCACUUCUAGUUGGCAAUUCAUAACAUGAUUUGAAUUUUAUAAAUUUAGGUCGCAAGUUGUAUUAUUAUUUAAAUACAAAUUUUUAAUUUUUAAAUAUAAUUUUUUUUUUUUUUUAAAUUUUCAUGGAAUUCCAACAACUACCUCUUUAAUUUAUCUCAUAAAUUGAUGAUGUUUGAAAAUAUUCAAGCCAUCAAUUUUUGGGAUUAAUAAUGGAAUAUUAAUCCUACAUUAAGGCUAAGAAGGCUAUUGUAAUUUUAAGAUAUCUCGAUAUGGAAAAUACUUUAGUUAUAAAUGAAUUAUACAAAAGUAAAUUUAUAAACUGAUGUGAGUUGACGUGGUACGUCAGAUUAUAAAAUUACUUUUAUUAUAAAGUAGAUCUAACAGAUUUCAUUAAGGUACAAUAUCAGUUUGUGAGUUUAUUUUUUUUUUUAAUCUUUUUGUAUCUGUAGCAGUUCUAAUUAAAUAUUGUCAUAUACAUAUACAUCAAAUGGUUGAAGAGCAAGUGGGAGAAAAUAGUAUUUGUAUACCAUAAUUUAUUCUUGUGGAAUAUCCCAUCGUAUUGAGUUUUAUUGAAUUAUGGUCAUUAGAUUCCUGUCAUAUAUGUAGCUAUAGCUAGCUUAAUUUGUAACUAUCUACUCAUUAACUAUGUAGUUAUAUUAUGAAUUAUGAACAUUUAUUUUUAAUCA